GUAAAGUAAAAAAAAGUAAAAAAGCAAGGUAAUAUUAAAUUCAGACUAUUAAGCCAAUGCUGCAUACCAAGUUUGUUUAUUCUACCUCAAUUUCACAAUUAUUAACAGCAUUUCAUAAAUUGUACGUUUUUUUAAAACGUUAUACCCGAAAAAAAGGUUUUUUGAACUGGGACAUCGAAUUAUCUCACUAUUAAUAGUAAGAUAAGUACAUAAUAUACAUAACUUUUGCCUAUGUCACCUAAGAUCGCAUUAUAAAACUCUAUACUAAAAAAAUAAAGACGCUUCAUUAGAUUGCUAAGUCUCCCAACAUGUUACAAACACUAAUUACAAAUUACUUUUUU
Cinara cedri is the source of this 341-nucleotide non-coding RNA. The record is from the annotation of a GenBank genome assembly. Lineage: Eukaryota; Metazoa; Arthropoda; Insecta; Hemiptera; Aphididae.